This 394-nucleotide transfer-messenger RNA is filed under the name Entomospira culicis. RNAcentral's name for it is "Standard tmRNA". It matches the Rfam family "transfer-messenger RNA". From Rfam's summary of the family: Bacterial tmRNA, also known as 10Sa RNA or SsrA, is named for its dual tRNA and mRNA-like properties. Its role is to liberate the mRNA from a stalled ribosome. Lineage: Bacteria; Pseudomonadati; Spirochaetota; Spirochaetia; Spirochaetales; Spirochaetaceae. The record is from Rfam by way of RNAcentral.
GGGGGUGUCAAGGUUUCGACUAGGAGAUCGGCUUCCGAUUGGUCUGCAAGCAGAGCGCGCAACUCUUAAAACUACGCAACAAUUUAAAUGCCAAAAAGAAUGAUACAGUAACCAUGAAUUUGGGUGCUGCUAACAUGGCAAUCGCUGCUUAAUUUAAUAUAGCGCGACGGGUCUCUAAACACGCGGUUUUGAGGGAAUAGAGACUUGACACAUUAACCAAAACUCACGAGAUGGAGCAACAUGCCUCUACUCUCGGACAUUCAUAGCAUGUUGUAGCCGAAUGAGGGUUAGAUGGUUUCCCUAACAUUUGGCGAACACGUAACAAUCAUCUAAGCUUGUAGAGGGCUCUUCGGGCACUUUUAGGACGCGGGUUCGAUUCCCGCCACCUCCAUUU